UGUUGGUUUUUUGUUUUUGUUUUUGUUUUUUGUUUGUUGUUGUUGUUUUUUUCGGGCGGGGGGGUGGGGUUGUUAGCUGAUUAGUUGAUAUACCUUUAUUUGUAUAAGAAAUAACUGUUUCAACACGAGUUUUUUGUUUUGUAGACACGCACGAAUGUCAGACUGGAAAGGGUUUAUGCGAUGUCCACGCUGACUACACGGAUACACCGGGAUCGUAUACAUGUACCUGUCGAGAUGGAUAUACUGGAGAUGGACGGUCAUGUACAGAUAUCGACGAGUGUCUUGUAAAGACGUCGUGUGGCACCAAUGCCAACUGCACCAAUACAGAUGGAUCGUAUACAUGGACCUGUCGAGAUGGAUAUACUGGAGAUGGACGGUCAUGUAAACAAAUUCACUGAUGUCAUGUAUAAGAUAAUGGUUUUCUUCAACCGGUUACAGGGCCGUACCCAGAACAAAAUCCUAGGGGUGCACUACUCUUUAUAAACAAAUGAAACACUAUACAAAUCAAACCCCGAGAUGCUAUUUUGUGGAGUAAAAAAAAAAAGUACGAUUCUCAGUGGGGCAACUGCCCCCUCACCUAACCCCAGGGGGUACGGUCCUGAGUUAGUAGCAUUAUGCAGGUUAACAACUUGUAACAAAUUCAAAAUAACAGUUCAUGAUGAAUUAUACACCACUUCCGGUUGUCUCGUUAUGGUAUCCUUUGUUAAAAACCCCAAAUAAAAAACAAAACAAAAAAACAAAACAAAACAAAAAAACAAACAAAUAAUAAUAAUAAUAAUAAUAAUAAUAAUAAUAAUAAUAAUAAAGAAACAUAACUCAUUGUCUUUUAACUAUUUCGACCAUUUAAAUAUCCAUAGUUAGGGAGGAGGGGAGGGGUGCAUGGUACAUUUGUUUAAAGAAAAUAUACUUCCCAAAUGUCUUUCAUAAAAUUACGAUAUCGCAAUGCAAUGUGUGUGUGUAACUAUAACGAUUAGGAGAUUAGUUACAAUACCUAAGUUUGGAAAAACUGUAUAUUUAACAACUUGUUUAUUGGAAAGGGAAAUUAGUGUAGGUUUUGUUUUAAAUCAUGUUUCGUUGGAUUUAGAUAUCGACGAGUGUCUUGUAAAGACAUCGUGUGGCACCAAUGCCAACUGCACCAAUACAGAUGGAUCGUAUACAUGGACCUGUCGAGAUGGAUAUACUGGAGAUGGACGGGCAUGUACAGAUAUCGACGAAUGUCUUGUACAGACAUCGUGUGGUACCAAUGCCAACUGCAACAAUACAGAUGGAUCAUACACCUGUACGUGUUUGAAUGGAUAUUCUGAAGAUGGACAAACGUGUGCAGAAAAUUCACUUAAACAUCAAUCGCUAAUCUGUGUUUUUUGCUACAUCAUUUUGACAAGCAAUUGUGUACAACCUCUUCAUUUUCGCAAAUAAACCUGUCAUCAGAAAAAUGCAUUUUUGUUUAUGGCCAGAUUAAGUACGUUUACUAAAGUUACCGGAUCAUUGAUACACAUAUUAAAGAGAAUCAGUGAAAGAUUGCAACCAUGGUUAACACUAUUGUUAAAUACAAGCCAGUAUAUCAAAUCGUCGGCGAAAUGACAAAACCUUGUAACUACACUUUUCAAAAUUUUACAGGAGAGCAAAAAUACGUUAUUUUGUUAUAGUCGUUAUUAUGCGAACAUAUUAACAGUUAAUAGUGAUAACAUAUUAACAGUUAAUAGUGAUAACUACUUAAUAGCUGGUGUCAGGUCUACAAAUGUAGUUACGACAAUUUACAAUUGAAAUGUCGUUGAAGAUGUCAGUUACGACAUUUUGAUCUAGAAUUUAACACAGGUUGAAGGAAUGAGGCAAGAUCUAUACAUGUAGAUACGACGUUUUCUCAUUUUAUUUUUUGGACCAGUUAUAAUACGACUAUUUGUCAUGUGACAGUCAACCACUUUCUAAUAGGCCGAUAGCUACGAUCUUUUGACAAAAGCAGAAUAUGAACAUUCUAACUCUGCAAAUUCCAAAAAGUGAUUUCUCGCCAAAAGUGUAGUUACGGCCUUUUGUCAUUUCGCCGACGAAAUGUCCAUUCAGUCUUACACAACUAAUAUGUCUGAAACCUUAGUGAUACAGGGGCAUGUAAAAAUACUCUCAGUCGAUUCAGUCUUACACAACUAAUUAUGUUAUCAUAUAUUAAUUUUAUGGGACAAAAAAGAAAAAAAGAAAAAAAGGAGCACUAUAAAUAAGAUUGUGUCUGACAGUUGCAAAGAGUGCAAAACGUCUACCCAUUGACUUCAGAUAUGCUAACAAGACAGUAGAUAAAAACGUUAUGAACAAAAAUGAACGUUUUUGGUAAAAAUAGGAAAAUGGUUGAUACCAUAAAAGGACAACAUACUUGAUUGUGUAAGACUGAACGGACACCACUAGAGGGCAUUGACUUAUUAAUCACCGGUAAUUGAAUGUUAAACAUUUGGUAAUUUUGACUUAGCAUAAACCUUCAGAGGUAAUCCACUCUGAAUGAUUCCUCUGAAGAGGUCGAUCUUGUGAUCAGAGCACCUAAGGCGAACACUCUAUCAACUGAGAGAUUACAUGACACAUCACCCAGUAUACCAACGAGUCCAUACGGCUUUUCCUUUCUUACUCGACCUGCUACAUCCACUGAGAAAUUGAAUGUUAAGUGAAUCAGUAUUGGUUGGUUCACUGCAAAUGCUAUAAUUAAAAGGUGAAAUGAUUAUAUGUUCGUUCUUCCAGAUUAAUACUAAUUAGAUCCGUAUCUUCGUAUAUAUAUUAGUUCAUUGUCAGUUGUUAAUGUGAAUUGUGAACCAGGUGCGUUUCACAUAUUUAUGUAUGUAUUUCAGCUGCACCACUGAAAUCUACUGUUAUAGAAAAUGUUACCAUUGUUUUGGCUGUGACAACGACGAUGUUA
Gigantopelta aegis is the source of this 2890-nucleotide long non-coding RNA. RefSeq lists it as uncharacterized. The record is from RefSeq and is a predicted model, not a curated record. The transcript has 3 exons. NCBI's taxonomy places the organism in Eukaryota, Metazoa, Mollusca, Gastropoda, Neomphalida, Peltospiridae.